CGGCAUACGUAUCUAUGCGAAACCGUGCGACAUUACGCACACGCCAUGUGAGACGCAAGCUGUUUGAUUAUUUUCCGCUCUGUCAGGCUACAGAUAUUAACUUUCAAUUACUUAACUGCCUGGCUGUUUGUGUCAAAUACAAAUACCGUAUUAUAAAUAUAAAUGUCAUAAAUGCUGUUUGCCUUAACUCACGCUCUGACAAGAAUUCAACUUUGUUUAAACAGUUUUUGUUGCGCCUUUCAUGCCCUCUUUUCUAGCUGCCUUUUAAUGUCUAAUCAAAUAACAUGCUUGUCUCGCGCUCAAGCAAACAAAAUUAAAGACGAACGCGCAACGCGGCGUAUACGCAAUGCAUAAACGUCAAAGUAAAAUUUCGCAGAAUUCCGCUUGAAUUGCGCUCUGAUGAACGCAAAACGUGGCACUGGCCGAGCGGCUGGAGAGGAGAGGAGAGGAAAGGAGAGGAGAGGAGGAAAGUCAGGCAAAGAGAGCGGAUGUCGUGUACAGUUAGCGCUGAAAUCUCUGUUGUUGUUGUUAUUGCUCUUGCUCCUGCAUGACUGAUGAAUGAGCUGAGCGUAUGUGUGUGUGUGUGUGGGUUGCGAAUCACUUGUGCAUACGAGUCAAGUAUGAGCAUAUUUGUGUGUGUGUAUGUGUGUGUUUGGGUAAGUUAACCACGAAACUGUGCUCUGUUCGCGCAUGUGGAAGCAAGAAGUAAGGAAUCCAAACAAAGCAUUGCCAAAAAAAUCAGCUGCCAGCAUUGUCAGACAGCUGCGAGGCCAACUGCCAGUUGCCAUCAUCAUGUGCUCAGUCCUCAGGAACAAUGACAAACAUUGAGUGACCCGAACUGCAGCUAGAUUGAGUAUGCUUUUUUCGUUUACAUCAACAGCACACAGUUCAAUUGUCCUGAGGCAAAGCAUGUACGAUAAAUAAAUAUAUAUAUAUAUCUA
Drosophila virilis is the source of this 941-nucleotide non-coding RNA. Lineage: Eukaryota; Metazoa; Arthropoda; Insecta; Diptera; Drosophilidae. The record is from RefSeq and is a predicted model, not a curated record.